UGGGGGAUCGUCUAGCGGUAGGACUUAGGACUCUGAAUCCUACUACCCAGGUUCGAAUCCUGGUCCCCCAGCCA
RNAcentral lists this transfer RNA (74 nucleotides) under Syntrophaceae bacterium CG2_30_49_12. Its description in RNAcentral is "tRNA-Gln". It matches the Rfam family "tRNA". From Rfam's summary of the family: Transfer RNA (tRNA) molecules are approximately 80 nucleotides in length. Lineage: Bacteria; Pseudomonadati; Thermodesulfobacteriota; Syntrophia; Syntrophales; Syntrophaceae. The record is from RNAcentral. RNAcentral also lists the same sequence under 3 other names.